Long non-coding RNA from Lathyrus oleraceus (garden pea), 2045 nucleotides. RefSeq lists it as uncharacterized. NCBI's taxonomy places the organism in Eukaryota, Viridiplantae, Streptophyta, Magnoliopsida, Fabales, Fabaceae. The transcript is spliced from 5 exons. The record is from RefSeq and is a predicted model, not a curated record.
CUGUUGCUCACUUUGGCUCGCCGCACCGUCGUCCGUCACCGGCGCCGGUGUUGGCUUAUACCUAACCACCACCACCAAUUUAUGCAUAAUGAUACGUUGGAUACGCCUAUGGUAAGGGAUUUGGGCAACGGUCAAUGAAUUGGUUGAAUCGAACCUAAACAAAGAAAGAACCCUAGCCUUUCUAAGUCAAAUUAAAUGGCGCUCAAUGAAGAUCAACUCCUAACACAAUGGGGGUUUCGUUCCUUAACCUAAAUGCUACGCCUUGGUGCAGUCAGAGCAAGAAAACGAUAAUGAAUUGUAAAUGACAUACCAGAGAAGAUGAUCGUAGAAUUCGCCGGUUAGCAGGAGAUUAAGGUUAAGCUGAAAUGGUUUUUUUGAUGACUUAUUGUCCAAGUUGCAAGUUGAUUCAAAGUGACCUUGGCUUGGCUUGGAAUGAUGAAGCAUGAAGGUUAGUGGUCUUGAUGUGCAAACUGGCUGUAGCAGGUAGCAUUAGAAUGGAUUUGCCUUGAAGCUUGAGUGAUGACCUGCUGAAUAGGUUCACUCCUCAACAUUAACUUGGGUUUAGGGAUUGUCUUGGUUCAUGUUGAUGUAAGGCACUUUUCCCAUGGUUACUUGGAUGAAUGAAAGUGUGGCAGAUGGUUUUGUUGCAGAUUUGGAACAAGGUGCUGUUUUGAUGUGUGUUCCACUGCUGUGAAGAUGGUGUGUAGGUCAUGAGCUACUCACACUUGGACAGGUUAUGAAGAUGUAACCUCCAGGCCAGUUCAGUGGAGCAUGAUACUACCCUCUGACUCAAUCAAAACCAAAGGCCAUGUAGUUUGGAUCAAGGCUGUUGGUUCUUGUUAGAGAUGUUGCAGGAACUGCUGGUAACUGCAGGCAUUGCAUUACCCUGAUGCAGAUGAAGCAUGGUGAAUUGUUUUGGAUUCUUACAUUGCUUGAGUGUUGUUUGUGGUCAUGGCAGUGUAUUAGUUGGAUGACUUACCAAGGACACAUUCUUGCUGAUCCCAGGUGCAUUUCAAGUUUUGAUGCAAAAUGUUGGCCAUACUUUGAGUGUGUUGCAGGACUGUACAUUGCUAGCAGGAUUUGGUUCAAUCUCACAAAAUGGACAUAAUACAUUGAUGCUUCAACUGCAACAAGCAUUGUGGUUUGGUAUGUGGACUUCUUUUGUGAUUCUUGGUGACUGUUAUGCUGUAUUAUGGGCAGGGAGUUUGGUUGCAGCUCUCAUGAGACAAUGUACACUACCAUGCUCUUGUGGUACUGCUGUAGAGUAUUAGGCCAAGCAAUGUUUUGCUGCAGCUGGCAUGUGUUACAGGUUUAUAUGUUAGGCCCAUGUGUCAUGACUGAAUUUGUUUUUGUUAGUCUGUUGCUACAGGAAGGUUUCCAAGUUGCAGCUUUUAUUCAACUAAUGAUCAAUUGGUUAUGGUAAGGCAAUAUGGUGCAACAUGAUAUGACAUGGGUUGUUGCAGCAGUAGGGCCAUCAUACUGCUUCCAUCUAUAUCCAUGGUUUUAUUGCACAUGUGUGAAGUUUUUGUUGCAGCAAAAGGAUAAGAAAAGGACAAUGGUUGGAUUGUUAGAGGACUCCUUGGUCAAUGAUUAGGGGCAGGCCAAUGGCAAAUGGUUAAUAGUUCAAAAGGCUAAAAGGACAUGGUGCACCACAUACAUUAAUUGCAAUGGAAGCAACCAAGAAAUCAUCAACAAACAUGAAGAUUGGAUGUUCAUUGAAGCAAAAAGGACAGGCCAAGUUUGGAUAGUCAAGGGCAAGUGAGGGUUGACUUUGGUCAAAGUUGACCAAAAAGUUAACUGUUGACCAAAGUCAACAAAUGGUCAAAAAUAUAUUUUCUUUGUGUUUCCUUUGUAAAUGGACAAUGGUUUAUUGAUUAGGGUGAAAAUUUAGGGCAUUAGGUUUUGGGAUGACUUUGGUCAAAGUUGACGAAAAAGUCAACUAUUGCCCAAAGUCAACAAUUUGGUCAAAAUGUCAAAUUUUGUAUUUUCUUGUAUGGAAUCAUAUGUAAUGGUUUAAAAUGACAUGAGAUGGAUUGAAAUGGUUU